UACGGAGGGGGCGAGCGUUGUCCGAAGUUACUGGGCGUAAAGCGCGCGUAGGCGGGUCGACAAGUCCGCUGUGAAAGCCCGGGGCUCAACCCCGGAGGGUCGGUGGAUACUGUCGGUCUUGAAGGUGCUAGGGGGAGAUGGAAUUACCGGUGUAGCGGUGAAAUGCGUAGAUAUCGGUAGGAACACCAGUGGCGAAGGCGGUCUCCUGGGGCACUCUUGACGCUGAGGCGCGAAAGCUGGGGGAGCGAACGGG
RNAcentral lists this ribosomal RNA (253 nucleotides) under uncultured bacterium. RNAcentral describes it as "partial 16S ribosomal RNA". It matches the Rfam family "Bacterial small subunit ribosomal RNA", at positions 524 to 776 of the family's 1533-position model. The record is from RNAcentral.